This 372-nucleotide ribosomal RNA is filed under the name Peronia verruculata. Its description in RNAcentral is "partial large subunit ribosomal RNA". It matches the Rfam family "Archaeal large subunit ribosomal RNA", at positions 2019 to 2658 of the family's 2987-position model. Lineage: Eukaryota; Metazoa; Mollusca; Gastropoda; Systellommatophora; Onchidiidae. The record is from RNAcentral.
CUGACUGUGCUAAGGUAGCGUAAUCNGUUGGCUUUUAAAUGGAGUCGAGUAUGAAUGGGUCUACGGAAACAAGCUGUCUCUUUUUGGUUAUAUUGAAGUUUCUUUAAGGGUGCAAAGUCCCUUGAUUAGAAAAAAGACGAGAAGACCCUUAGAGUUUUUAUUAAAGAUAAGAAUUUAUUUAAGUUUUUGCUGGGGCGGCAAAGAGACAAAGCAAUUAAACUCUCUUUUUAUUGUUUUUAGAAGACGAAAAUGUUAAGAAUCAUUAAACUACCUUAGGGAUAACAGCAUAAUUAAAUUUUAGUUUGUGACCUCGAUGUUGGACUAGGAAGGCUUUUGACCAGCAGUCAAAAAGUGUGGUUCUGUUCGAACUAA